UAGGGGUGUUCAAAACUACCCGACCCGCAUUACCCGACCCGCUGACCCACCGACCCGGUACAUUUAAAGCGGGUAAUAUACAGAUUUUUUAGGAAUAAAUGGGUCGGGGCAUGGGCCUCCCUUAUCGUUAAACGGGUACCCGAAUAUACCCGUUUAAAAAAAAAAAAAAAAACUCCCAUUAUUUGGAAUUUUGGGUACAGCAGGUCAACAGUGUUUGGCAAAGUUUCUCGAGUCAUAAGUCUCAUAAGUCAUAACAAAGCCCAAAAACAAGUAAACUAGGGUUUACUUUUCUUCGCUUCUUCGUUCUUCCUCUGUACUCUACUACUCUGUAUUCUCUCAACACUCAACCUCCCACCCUUCUCAGCGGCUCCGCCGCUCUUCUCUUUUCGACUCUUCCUCAGUCAGUCGCGGCUCCUCAGUCCUCCUCACUCCUCCUCUCUCUCUCACAGAUCUCGAGAUCCUCACAUCACCAGUUCACCACCGGUCUCGCAAGAUCAAGGCAAGCUCCACCCCGCACAAGCACCACCGCUCCAUUCAAGCCUUCAUCUUCGCUGCUAUAGCUCUGUGCUAUUGUUGAUUUGUUGGAAUAUAAACUUAAUUCAUACGAUUUUUUUUUGAAGAAACUUAAUUCAUACGUUGUGCUUCCUGACUUUUGCAAUUAUAUGUGUUUUUUUUUAUCUUUUUAGUUAAUAAUAUCUUGUAGUCAAGGUUUAAUGGACA
Long non-coding RNA from Spinacia oleracea (spinach), 720 nucleotides. RefSeq lists it as uncharacterized. The record is from RefSeq and is a predicted model, not a curated record. The transcript has 2 exons. Lineage: Eukaryota; Viridiplantae; Streptophyta; Magnoliopsida; Caryophyllales; Amaranthaceae.